This 769-nucleotide ribosomal RNA is filed under the name uncultured Planctomycetota bacterium. RNAcentral describes it as "bacterial SSU rRNA". It matches the Rfam family "Bacterial small subunit ribosomal RNA", at positions 82 to 859 of the family's 1533-position model. The record is from RNAcentral. Lineage: Bacteria; Pseudomonadati; Planctomycetota.
GGCGAAUGGAGGAGCGGCGAAAGGGAGAGUAACGCGAGGGCAACCUGCCCCUGGAUCCGGGAUAGCGGUUCGAAAGAGCCGGUAAUACCGGAUAAUGUCUCCGGACCAAAGGUGUGAUUCCGUCUGGGGAUGGGCCCGCGUCCCAUUAGCUUGUUGGUGAGGUAACGGCUCACCAAGGCUGAGAUGGGUACCGGGUGUGAGAGCAUGGCCCGGCUCACUGGGACUGAGACACUGCCCAGACACCUACGGGUGGCUGCAGUCGAGAAUCUUCGGCAAUGGGCGCAAGCCUGACCGAGCGACGCCGCGUGCGGGAUGAAGGCCUUCGGGUUGUAAACCGCUGUCAGUUGGGAGGAAAUGCAUCAGGGUUCUCUCUGGUGUUUGACCGAUCUUCAGAGGAAGGCCGGGCUAAGUUCGUGCCAGCAGCCGCGGUAAGACGAACCGGUCGAACGUUAUUCGGAAUCACUGGGCUUAAAGAGUGCGUAGGCGGCCUUGCAGGUGAGGUGUGAAAUCCCCCGGCCCAACCGGGGAACUGCGCUUCAAACCGUGAGGCUUGAGGGAGACAGAGGUGAGCGGAACUGAUGGUGGAGCGGUGAAAUGCGUUGAUAUCAUCAGGAACACCUGUGGCGAAAGCGGCUCACUGGGUCUCUUCUGACGCUCAGGCACGAAAGCUAGGGUAGCGAACAGGAUUAGAUACCCUGGUAGUCCUAGCUGUAAACGAUGAGCACUUGUUCGAGGGGACUUCCGCAUCUUCUCGGACGUAGCGAAAGUG